GACUCUGCAGCAAAGCCACUCUUCCUCUUCUGUCAACCUAAAGAAAACUUUGGAGGAAUGUUUAAACGACACAGACUACAAUGAACUGAUGGAGAUAGCAGAGAAUGGCCUCCCAAAGAUAACCACACCUUAUCGUGUUGUUAUUGUUGGGGCUGGCAUGGCUGGACUCACUGCUGCCAAGCUGCUGCAAGAAGCUGGACAUGAGGUAACCAUAUUGGAGGCAAGUGAGCGAGUAGGACGGGUGUUGACCCAUAGGAAUGAAACAGAGGGUUGGUAUGUUGAAUUAGGGGCCAUGAGGAUUCCAUCUUUUCAUCAAGCCUAGGGUCACCAUGUAAAAACCUCGUUCAUCCAGCAACUGAACAUCUCAUUGAAUCACUUCAACAUGACUGACAACAACACCUAUUACCUGGUGAAUGGGAAGAAACACAAGACUUCAGAUGUGACUGAAGACCCCAGCAUCCUGGAUUACCACCUACCAUCUAAUGAGAGGAAUAAAUCAGCCCAUGAUCUGCUUCAGGAGGCAUUACAGGAGGUUCCAGACCUGUUUGAUCCAGCCUCGAGUUCUGGUGUUAAGCAAACUCCUGACCUCUUGAUCUAGGCACCUUCGAUGCUCCUGGACUUUCAAGAUUCAAGUCUCAAGUUUCUUCUUGGAUUAACUCCUGGCUGGCAGCUUCAGGAUUGACAACUAAAUGGCCCAAGUCAGCAGCAAACCCUGUCCAAUAAUCUCGCUGUGGAUGGUGCAGAUGACGGCAUUCUGCUAAUGGCAGACAACUUGCAUCUGAAGAGAAGGCUUGAUACAGGCCUUGCAGUCAACAUUUUUCAGUACUGUGACAAUGUUUAGGGAAGGCCUGAACCCAAAGACCCAAAUACAAUUUCAAAAUUGUCUAUCUGUGGAGGUUAGGGUUAGAGUUUGGGUAUGAUUUGUCAAAGGAAUUAAACCCAUACAUUCAGACAGAUUUUCAGAAUGUGGCCUGGAGACGUUGUGCAUGAGUUACUUCUCUCACAAUGUUACUAAGUUCUAACUGGAGAUAUGAACAACUUUUCCCUAUAAUUUGCACUACUGCUCCCCAUAAAUACUAAAACUUUUGUAACCCAGUGUUUCAUUUUAUUUCAUUAACGCCGACAUCUACCAAGGCUGAAAUCCCUUUAUUUUAUGAAUGGUCCAACCCAUGCAUUAAUUUAGCAAAUGGUUCAAAAUUGUUUUAACAGUCAGGAUCACAUCACAUAGAAUACAUUAAAUUAAACAUAGCUAAUUACAUCAGCUAGAUUUUAUUUUAAAAUGUCAAAUUUCUAAUACUGAGUCAUUUUGGUAGUUAUCUGUCACUGCUAGUUUGGCCAUUUCCUUCUUGCUAAUAGACUGGACACACAAGGGACACUUCCCCCAGGAGGUGUUCCAAUGCCCUGAUUGAUUUAUUUUGCUUUGAUAAUCAUCAGGAUCCUGUUUAAAGAUAAGUGCACAGAAUUCAAAGAGAUCUCAAAUAAAUACAUGGAUCCAGA
Girardinichthys multiradiatus is the source of this 1497-nucleotide long non-coding RNA. RefSeq lists it as uncharacterized. NCBI's taxonomy places the organism in Eukaryota, Metazoa, Chordata, Actinopteri, Cyprinodontiformes, Goodeidae. The transcript is spliced from 4 exons. The record is from RefSeq and is a predicted model, not a curated record.